Molecule: ribosomal RNA, 253 nt
Filed under: uncultured bacterium
Lineage: Bacteria
Description: partial 16S ribosomal RNA
Rfam family: Bacterial small subunit ribosomal RNA
Source: RNAcentral
UACGUAGGGUGCAAGCGUUAAUCGGAAUUACUGGGCGUAAAGCGUGCGCAGGCGGCUUUGCAAGACAGAUGUGAAAUCCCCGGGCUCAACCUGGGAACUGCAUUUGUGACUGCAUCGCUAGAGUACGGCAGAGGGGGAUGGAAUUCCGCGUGUAGCAGUGAAAUGCGUAGAUAUGCGGAGGAACACCGAUGGCGAAGGCAAUCCCCUGGGCCUGUACUGACGCUCAUGCACGAAAGCGUGGGGAGCAAACAGG